This is a long non-coding RNA of Solanum lycopersicum (tomato), 1816 nucleotides long. RefSeq lists it as uncharacterized. Lineage: Eukaryota; Viridiplantae; Streptophyta; Magnoliopsida; Solanales; Solanaceae. The record is from RefSeq and is a predicted model, not a curated record.
ACAUAACUUUCGACAAUAUAUACAUAUUUACAUAACUAUGUAUAUAAUUUGUAUAUCUCAUGAUUAUUCGAAAGCUAUUUUUACUUUAAUAAGUUUCUUCUUAGUUCAAAAUUAUGAUUAUAUUUUGAAUCGCUAUUUUAUUACUAGAUAAAUAAGCUCGUUAAUAAAUUUAUACCAAUUUCGUUUUGUCUUAAAUAAAAUGGCUAGUUAUUAAUUUGAACUCAUUUUCCCUUUUAAUUCGGAAGAAUCAACUUUCAUCCUAAUACUUUAACUCCAGGCCCAUCUCAGCUCUUCCAGCCCACUUCAGCUUUUAAAAAGAACAAACCCAAUUCCCAGGCCCAACCUCCUUUAGUUUAACCCAACCCACUUCAUCCUAACCCACUCCCUUCUCCCCUUUACUUAUAACCCGGCCCAAUUCCUCUUAACCCAGCCCAACCCCAAUUCCCGCUCCGACCCAUUUCCCCUCCCCUUCCUCUCCCUCACCCCACGCGACCCCCCCAAAACAGAAAACCAGAACAGACGCGAACGGAAAGAAAAAAGAAAAAUUCCCAGAACCCCGCGUCUCCCUCACGCACGAACCCCUCCCUUUCUCCUCCCUCGUGUCACCUCACGUGACCUCUCCCUCCCAACGUCUCUCUGGCAGUACGUCUCCAGCUACUGCGUAGCAGGUCGUACUGCUCGUCCUAGCAGUAGCGGAUUUGCGACACGUAGCUCGCUAGUACCACAAAAUCAUCUCCACCCUCCACCUUGCUCUCAAUCCAUUGGAAUGGCUUAAAAUUUGAAGAAUCUUCGUAGCAUAUUCAUUUUGUUGGAUAAAUUUUGAAAUUUCGAAUUCGAAACGGGUCGAAUUCGGUUUUAUCCGCCUUCACUUGGAACCCUAAUUAUUUUCCUAUUUAAACCCGAUCUUCCUUCAAACAACGGGUUGGAGGAAUUUUGUUGGGAAAAUGCUGCUUCCUGUUCUGUAUGUGGUUAGAGAUUUAGGUUGGGAAUUUUUGUUGAAAGUUGGGGUUGGAUUUUUGGAAAAAGGAACUCUAUCACUAAGGGGUUGGGAGAAUUUUUCGAGAAAUAUUUGAUUUCUUUUCGGUCUGUUGUAGAAGAAUAGUUGGAAAAUUUUGAAAAAAUUCUUUUGGGUUGUUCUGUCUGCUUCUGAGGGAACUAAAGGAAGUUUGUUUUGGGUUAGAAAAUUUGCGUUGAAACUUAAGAGAGAAAAUCCUUGGCUUCAUUGUUUCUUUAGAUAGAAAGGUUUUGGGAAUUCCAGGAAUAUCGCUUCAUCACAUAGGACUUGCAAGCUGUUCGAUGCCGUGACUCGUAUUCCUCCUUUGUGUUCGUGUUUUUUUUCGUUUGGUGUGGAAGUUGCUGUCGUUUGCUGCUUGUUCCUGUUCCGUUCGCUGCCCGGAAAGAGAGAGCUAUAAAGGUUCAAGUUAAUUCAUCGAGUCAAGCCUUGAAACCGACGACGAGGAGAUCCCGGAGUUAGAAGAUUGGAGAAACUCGAAGAAAUGGACUAGAAGACUUUUUCUUUAUUUUGUUUUGUAUUUUAUUUUUGUAAUGGGCAUAAGCCCUUGUUGCUUUUCUUUCUCGUAUUUUAUUUUGUACAUUUAGAUUAGGACAGGUGAACGGGUUAAAAAAACCCAAAAAACAGGUGGGUUCAAAACUCGAUCAAGGCGAACAGAACCCGAGUUUGGACCCAAAUCUCUCUCUCUCUCCCCUCCCCGUUACUUGUUUUAUAUGUUUGCGUGGACUAUCGUUAGUCUAGGGUUAGAAACUCCAAACCCCCGUCGACGCCUUUUAUUUUAUCAAAUUAAAAAAUUAAAAUGAA